CCUACGGGAGUCUGCAGUGAGGAAUAUUGGUCAAUGGGCGUAACCCUGAUCCAGCGAAGCCGCGUGAGUGAUGAAGGUUCUAUGGAUCGUAAACCUCUUUUAUAGGGGAAUAAAGUGUGGGACGUGUCCUAUUAUGUAUGGACCUUAUGAAUCAGGCUCGGCUAACUACGUGCCAGCAGCCGCGGUAAUACGGAGGAACCGAGCGUUAUCCGGAUUUAUUGGGGUUAAAGGGUGCGUAGUCGGCCUUUUAAGUCUGCAGUGAAAGUCCAUGGCUUAACCAUAGAAGUGCUGUUGAAACUGGGGAGCUGGAGUGUGUUAGAGGCAGGCGGAAUGCGUGGUGUAGCGGUGAAAUGCGUAGAUAUCACGCAGAACCCCGAUGGCGAAGGCGGCCUGCUAAGCCAUGACUGACGCUGAUGCACGAAAGCGUGGGGAUCAAACAGGAUUAGAUACCCCUGUAGUC
Molecule: ribosomal RNA, 460 nt
Filed under: uncultured bacterium
Lineage: Bacteria
Description: partial 16S ribosomal RNA
Rfam family: Bacterial small subunit ribosomal RNA
Source: RNAcentral